RNAcentral lists this unclassified non-coding RNA (22 nucleotides) under Mus musculus (house mouse). RNAcentral's name for it is "oocyte_clustered_small_RNA12924". Lineage: Eukaryota; Metazoa; Chordata; Mammalia; Rodentia; Muridae. The record is from RNAcentral.
ACGAUAUAUAGGAGUAUGCUGC